This 87-nucleotide transfer RNA is filed under the name Branchiostoma floridae (Florida lancelet). It matches the Rfam family "tRNA". Rfam says of the family: Transfer RNA (tRNA) molecules are approximately 80 nucleotides in length. Their secondary structure includes four short double-helical elements and three loops (D, anti-codon, and T loops). The record is from Rfam by way of RNAcentral. Lineage: Eukaryota; Metazoa; Chordata; Leptocardii; Amphioxiformes; Branchiostomatidae.
GCCCGGUUAGCUCAGUCGGUAGAGCAUCAGACUUUUAAGCAUCUUGUGGCCAUCUGAGGGUCAGGGGUUCAAGUCCCCUAUCGGGCG